This is a long non-coding RNA of Zonotrichia albicollis (white-throated sparrow), 1008 nucleotides long. RefSeq lists it as uncharacterized. Lineage: Eukaryota; Metazoa; Chordata; Aves; Passeriformes; Passerellidae. The record is from RefSeq and is a predicted model, not a curated record.
CUCCCAAGACUACCUGAGGCUUUACUGCUGUCAGUGUGCCACUGCUGAACCUCUCAGGAUAUUCUGCCUCCUACAAAACAGAAACAGAGUCUGUGUUCAGAUUUAGCUGUAGCUCUUCCUGCUGAAAGAAGAGACUUUGGAAAGGACUACAGGGCAGCAGAGUGGAGAUCUCUGUAUUGGGAUGCCUUUUGCACUUUGAUAUGAGAGAUACAUGAAUAUACAUAAAGCAGGAAAAAAUGCUGUUCAGUACCUUCUGGACUGCAGUAUUGAAGAGUGUCUGUAGGAAUAUACCUGAAGCAUGAUCAGGAUUGGAACCCUAAAAGCCUAAGCAAGGCAAAUAUAUGAAAAUGAAGAUAUGAAGCAGAGUAAAGCUCAGUAAAGAGAGAGAUGGAAGUGACAUACACUGUGGAUCUUGCAUGUCAUCCUGCCUAGACUUCAGAGGAGGCUCUGCACUGAUUCAUGCCUGUGAGAGACUGCAUCUAUUUUUAUUUCCUUUGGAUAAAAUGUAGAGAAGCUAAUAUUUCUGUGAGAGUCAUAGAGGUCACGUAGAAAAUAAGAAACACGAUACAGUUAUUCAUUUUCUUUUUUUGUUUUUAGCCAAAAUGUACAUCUUCACAGAAUAUGAAUAUGUGGAACUUAAAUUUUGUGGUUACUGGAAAUUCAAAUAUAGAAAGCAAUGGCAUCUACAAAGAAAAUGCUCCCACUGAGAACUUAUUUUAUCAAUGAAUUAAACCUAAAUUGUUCUGUUCCAUUCUAAAAUUCAAGUUGCUUGAGAAUCCUUCCUAGAAGUAAAGCAUAAUGAACAGAACCUGAAAGUUUCCUUAAGAGAGUGCAUUACGUGUUCUGAAAGAUAAAUGUUCUAAAAUGUUCUUUCCUUGACAGCAUCAGCUUCAUUUGUGUCAUGUCUUGCAACACACAGUGUGAUGGAAGUCUGUAUGUCAAACUGUACUGCACCUAAUAAAAUGGAGCAUAUGCCUGUAAAAACAAUUAAAUAUGUCAAAUUGAGGU